RNAcentral lists this ribosomal RNA (308 nucleotides) under Bacillus coniferum. RNAcentral describes it as "bacterial LSU rRNA". It matches the Rfam family "Bacterial large subunit ribosomal RNA", at positions 1652 to 1955 of the family's 2925-position model. Lineage: Bacteria; Bacillati; Bacillota; Bacilli; Caryophanales; Bacillaceae. The record is from RNAcentral.
AACCGACACAGGUAGGCGAGCAGAGCAUGCUAAGGCGCGCGGAAGAACUCUCGUUAAGGAACUCGGCAAAAUGACCCCGUAACUUCGGGAGAAGGGGUGCCUCGGUAGGGUGAAUAGCCCGAGGGGGCCGCAGUGAAAAGGCCCAAGCGACUGUUUAGCAAAAACACAGGUCUGUGCGAAGCCGUAAGGCGAAGUAUACGGGCUGACGCCUGCCCGGUGCUGGAAGGUUAAGGGGAGCGGUUAGGAGCAAUCCGAAGCUGUGAACCGAAGCCCCAGUAAACGGCGGCCGUAACUAUAACGGUCCUAAG